UACGGGGGGGGCAAGCGUUGUUCGGAAUUACUGGGCGUAAAGGGCUCGUAGGCGGCCAACUAAGUCAGACGUGAAAUCCCUCGGCUUAACCGGGGAACUGCGUCUGAUACUGGAUGGCUUGAGGUUGGGAGAGGGAUGCGGAAUUCCAGGUGUAGCGGUGAAAUGCGUAGGUAUCUGGAGGAACACCGGUGGCGAAGGCGGCAUCCUGGACCAAUUCUGACGCUGAGGAGCGAAAGCCAGGGGAGCAAACGGG
RNAcentral lists this ribosomal RNA (253 nucleotides) under uncultured bacterium. RNAcentral's name for it is "partial 16S ribosomal RNA". It matches the Rfam family "Bacterial small subunit ribosomal RNA", at positions 524 to 776 of the family's 1533-position model. The record is from RNAcentral.